GGGGCGGAUAACAUUAUGCCGAACAAGCACAAGGUACAGAUAUAGAAGCUGAAAUAGUGUGCGGCCCUCAGUGGAAAAAGUUUGGACACCCCUGCAUUGCAGCUGAACAAGCGGAGAUGUCCACAAUCGCCCCCUAGUGUACGAGAGGCACACUGCGUGUGGCCAUCAGUCACAUUACAGGGCUUGUGCUGGCGUUGCAGUGAGGUGGAGAUCAACUUGCCACAAGGGGGGGUGCCCCGGACAAGUGACGUCUACAACUAUGGAACACGUCAAAACAGAAACCAUGGCUGUUGUUGUUUCACCUCCCUUCAAAUGAGCUGCGCAAACAUAAGGCCGCCCCCGCUGCUUCUUCCUCCCAUAAUUCCAGCUAUAAAGAGGCCUACAAUUAUAGUGGGACGGGACUAAAGGUGCCGGCAGCCAACCACAGUCUCUCCUUCCAGCUCUCCGGCUCCCUGGAUUGGCUUUGCCCAGAUGUUCCCUCUGUAAUGAUGUUUGCAACCA
Entelurus aequoreus (snake pipefish) is the source of this 501-nucleotide long non-coding RNA. RefSeq lists it as uncharacterized. The transcript has 5 exons. The record is from RefSeq and is a predicted model, not a curated record. Lineage: Eukaryota; Metazoa; Chordata; Actinopteri; Syngnathiformes; Syngnathidae.